GUCAGUGUGCUCAAAACAGUCCGGAAGAGCAGAGAUGUCUCUUGCUGUCCAGGUUUUCAUCUGCUUCAGAACCAGUCUGGAGCGUCUAACGAGCGGUCUGUAUGCUGGGAUUAACAUAACAGAGAGGUGGUCUGAGUACCCGGGAGGGGGCGGGGCUCUGCCAGGUUUGUGUAAACAAAAUCCAGCGAGUUCGCGCUUCUCAUCGCAAAGUCCACAUCCUGAUGGAAGUCAGGGAGCGCUGAUUUGGAAUUUCACAUGACUGAAAUGUCCGGCGACAAUAAACAGUCCGUCAGGGUUUGUGUUCCGCAGUAAUAGCCCCCGACAGUUCACAAAGCGCCUCCUUAACAUUAGCGCUGGGGGGAAUGCACACUCCGACUAAACUUCACCAGCGAGGAGCAGUAACUAGAAACUAGCACUGAGUUCUUGCACCAUUCGGGGUUGAUGUAAACACACAAGCCACCAUCGCGAGCCUUACCGCACAAAGUUGCAUUGCUGUCGUCAUGAAACGAGGGGAGCCCGUUUAGCUUUAGCCUAACACGGACCCCCGCCCUCUUGCCACGCUUCUGCUUCCUCGCACAGCGCUUACGACGCCCUCUCCCCCGGACACCGGCAUCACAAGACCCCGAAGACUGGAGGCUUGGUUCCCGCAACAAGCCGAGCUCACGUAACUUCUCCAGCAGACCAUCAUGCAAUCUGGUCAUCGGAUGAUAUCUAUAGUUUAGCAGAAACUGGCGAUGGUAAACACGGACCAUGGUUGCCCCGAUAUCCAUGUGCCGUAUAAUACAAAGGAUUUGAAAUAUUAGAUCCGGUUUAGUAUACUACAGUUCCGGUUCACCGCGAGAUGUCUCCACUGGAAAGCCGGAUACAACCGACAGAGGAUCAUCAGGACUGCAAAGAAUGGCUACAGAGACAAGAUUGUGUUGAACUAUCAAAGAUCAGACCUCAAGCACAUGUAGAAUGGUUUGUGCUCCAUUACAGACUACAAAGGUUGGAAAAUCUGCAAUGGGGACUAUCUGCCUCACUACCUGAUGAGCAGAACACCUUCUAUGCUCAGUUUAAGGCCAGCAACACCUUCCAUGCAGAAAAACUCCCGGUGAACUGCAACAGCUGCGCACUAACCAUCACUGUGCCUUAUGUGAUCAGAUCUUUCAAGACGGCCAAUACAAGCAAAGCACCAAAUCUGGUGUCCUCAAAUCAUGUGCCAGCCACCUGCGGAGACUCAGGAAGUUUAAUUUCUCCGAAAAUCCUGACCAUUUUCUACAAAUACCCCAUAGAGAGCAUCCUGACUGGGUGCAUGAAUGUUUGGUUUGGCAGCUGCCCCCUGCGUGAAUGCAAGGCCCUCCGAAGAGUGGUGAGAGCAGCUGAACUCAUUAUUGGCAACAGACUCCCAGCCUUACAAGACAUCUUCCAUACAUGAUGUCUGAGGAAAGCACACUAAAUCAC
This is a long non-coding RNA of Ictalurus punctatus (channel catfish), 1443 nucleotides long. The record is from Ensembl. NCBI's taxonomy places the organism in Eukaryota, Metazoa, Chordata, Actinopteri, Siluriformes, Ictaluridae.